AGGAUAAACGCUGGCGGCGUGCCUAACACAUGCAAGUCGAACGUCCUACGCAAGUAGGGAGUGGCGGACGGGUGAGUAACACGUGGGCAAUCUACCUUUCGGUGAGGAAUACCGGCGAGAAAUCGCCGACAAUACCGCAUACGCUUCGCAAGAAGCAAAGUCGCAAGACGCCGGAGGAGGAGCCUGCGCCCGAUUAGCUCGUUGGUGGAGUAAUGGUCUACCAAGGCGACGAUCGGUAGCUGGUCUGAGAGGAUGAUCAGCCACACUGGGAUUGAGAACGGCCCAGACUCCUACGGGGGGCAGCAGUGAGGAAUUUUCCGCAAUGGGCGAAAGCCUGACGGAGCAACGCCGCGUGAGUGAUGAAGACCUUCGGGUUGUAAAGCUCUGUCGGAGGGAAGAACACAAUGACGGUACCCUCCAAGAAGGCCCCGGCUAACUACGUGCCAGCAGCCGC
RNAcentral lists this ribosomal RNA (454 nucleotides) under uncultured bacterium. RNAcentral's name for it is "SSU rRNA". It matches the Rfam family "Bacterial small subunit ribosomal RNA", at positions 26 to 518 of the family's 1533-position model. The record is from RNAcentral.